This 497-nucleotide ribosomal RNA is filed under the name uncultured bacterium. RNAcentral describes it as "partial 16S ribosomal RNA". It matches the Rfam family "Bacterial small subunit ribosomal RNA", at positions 28 to 507 of the family's 1533-position model. The record is from RNAcentral.
GAUGAACGCUGGCGGCGUGCCUAAUACAUGCGAGUCGAGCGAACAGACGAGGAGCUUGCUUUUCUGAUGUUAGCGGCGGACGGGUGAGUAACACGUGGAUAACCUACCUAUAAGACUGGGAUAACUUCGGGAAACCGGAGCUAAUACCGGAUAAUAUUUUGAACCGCAUGGUUCAAUAGUGAAAGACGGUCUUGCUGUCACUUAUAGAUGGAUCCGCGCUGCAUUAGCUAGUUGGUAAGGUAACGGCUUACCAAGGCAACGAUGCAUAGCCGACCUGAGAGGGUGAUCGGCCACACUGGAACUGAGACACGGUCCAGACUCCUACGGGAGGCAGCAGUAGGGAAUCUUCCGCAAUGGGCGAAAGCCUGACGGAGCAACGCCGCGUGAGUGAUGAAGGUCUUCGGAUCGUAAAACUCUGUUAUUAGGGAAGAACAAAUGUGUAAGUAACUGUGCACAUCUUGACGGUACCUAAUCAGAAAGCCACGGCUAACUACGUG